Molecule: long non-coding RNA, 290 nt
Organism: Helianthus annuus (common sunflower)
Lineage: Eukaryota; Viridiplantae; Streptophyta; Magnoliopsida; Asterales; Asteraceae
Exons: 3
Source: RefSeq, a predicted model, not a curated record
UUUCCAUCUCUAAGAUAUCUUUCUUUAGACUAUUGUUCAUUGGGAGGAAGACUUUUCGGUAAUGGUACCAAAUUGAGCAACCUAGUGCACUUGAGUCUUGUCGAAAUCGAGUUCAAUGGUGACUUCAUGAGAUCUAUGGUUGCUUUUCCAUCCCUAAGAUUUCUUGAUUUGGGCUAUGCUGGCAUAACAGGAAGACUUUUUGGUAAUGUAGUUCCCAGUAUACCUAACUUGCAAGUCCUCAUCUUGAACGAAAAUCAUUUUAGUGGACCUAUACCGAUUGAAGGUAGGCA